CUAAUUUAUAUAGAAUCCUGCAUUUAUACUAUGGUA
Molecule: ribosomal RNA, 36 nt
Filed under: Perkinsus olseni
Lineage: Eukaryota; Perkinsozoa; Perkinsida; Perkinsidae
Description: large subunit ribosomal RNA
Source: RNAcentral